UUCCACAUGCCAGACCGUACAUAUUAAAGGUCACUGGCUUCAACGCCAUCCUGGAUGUUACCAAGUCCCCUGUAAGAAAUUAAGCCUCCCCCUAAUCUGAUUCCAUCUAUACCCAAGUAUAUUCAUCGAAAAUUCGUCGCACUUUCCUUUACUUCUAUCUUUUCCAUUCACACAGCUCUUCUACCUUCUUUAUCUAGCUCUGAUUUGACUGGGAGAAGUUAUCUUUCUUUUGGUACAACAGCUUAUUCAACAACCCACCGUCACGCCAAUGUCAGGUCCUAUUCCAUGAGUAGUUGUAAAAGUUUUCUUAAAGAACUACUUAGUAUGAGUAACUUUCAGAAACGGCUCCAAACCCAAGUCACAAAGAUUACUAGACUAUAUAUUGUUGAAGUCUUGCAUCAUAAUUUCAUGGCCAGAAUAAAAAGUUAUAACCAUAGGC
Molecule: long non-coding RNA, 439 nt
Filed under: Gossypium raimondii (Peruvian cotton)
Lineage: Eukaryota; Viridiplantae; Streptophyta; Magnoliopsida; Malvales; Malvaceae
Description: long non-coding RNA (GRAI_LNC000060)
Source: RNAcentral